UUUGAUGAGAAGAAUAAACCUCAUUCUGUCUCAACUGUAGAGAUCAAUGAAAAGACUUCUGUCUUCUUGCCACCAGAUAUAUGUUACCUGCACUUAAAGAAUUGAAAACACGAAUCUAAGGAGUGUUCUCUUGGGAAGAGUAG
This is a non-coding RNA of Pteropus vampyrus (large flying fox), 143 nucleotides long. Lineage: Eukaryota; Metazoa; Chordata; Mammalia; Chiroptera; Pteropodidae. The record is from Rfam.